AAAUUGAAGAGUUUGAUCAUGGCUCAGAUUGAACGCUGGCGGCAGGCCUAACACAUGCAAGUCGAACGGUAACAGGAAGAAGCUUGCUUCUUUGCUGACGAGUGGCGGACGGGUGAGUAAUGUCUGGGAAACUGCCUGAUGGAGGGGGAUAACUACUGGAAACGGUAGCUAAUACCGCAUAACGUCGCAAGACCAAAGAGGGGGACCUUCGGGCCUCUUGCCAUCGGAUGUGCCCAGAUGGGAUUAGCUAGUAGGUGGGGUAACGGCUCACCUAGGCGACGAUCCCUAGCUGGUCUGAGAGGAUGACCAGCCACACUGGAACUGAGACACGGUCCAGACUCCUACGGGAGGCAGCAGUGGGGAAUAUUGCACAAUGGGCGCAAGCCUGAUGCAGCCAUGCCGCGUGUAUGAAGAAGGCCUUCGGGUUGUAAAGUACUUUCAGCGGGGAGGAAGGGAGUAAAGUUAAUACCUUUGCUCAUUGACGUUACCCGCAGAAGAAGCACCGGCUAACUCCGUGCCAGCAGCCGCGGUAAUACGGAGGGUGCAAGCGUUAAUCGGAAUUACUGGGCGUAAAGCGCACGCAGGCGGUUUGUUAAGUCAGAUGUGAAAUCCCCGGGCUCAACCUGGGAAC
Molecule: ribosomal RNA, 631 nt
Filed under: Escherichia coli
Lineage: Bacteria; Pseudomonadati; Pseudomonadota; Gammaproteobacteria; Enterobacterales; Enterobacteriaceae
Description: bacterial SSU rRNA
Rfam family: Bacterial small subunit ribosomal RNA
Source: RNAcentral